Molecule: ribosomal RNA, 586 nt
Filed under: uncultured bacterium
Lineage: Bacteria
Description: partial 16S ribosomal RNA
Rfam family: Bacterial small subunit ribosomal RNA
Source: RNAcentral
UGGGGAAUUUUGGACAAUGGGCGAAAGCCUGAUCCAGCAAUGCCGCGUGUGUGAAGAAGGCCUUCGGGUUGUAAAGCACUUUUGUCCGGAAAGAAAUCCUUGGCUCUAAUACGGUCGGGGGAUGACGGUACCGGAAGAAUAAGCACCGGCUAACUACGUGCCAGCAGCCGCGGUAAUACGUAGGGUGCAAGCGUUAAUCGGAAUUACUGGGCGUAAAGCGUGCGCAGGCGGUUUGCUAAGACCGAUGUGAAAUCCCCGGGCUCAACCUGGGAACUGCAUUGGUGACUGGCAGGCUAGAGUAUGGCAGAGGGGGGUAGAAUUCCACGUGUAGCAGUGAAAUGCGUAGAGAUGUGGAGGAAUACCGAUGGCGAAGGCAGCCCCCUGGGCCAAUACUGACGCUCAUGCACGAAAGCGUGGGGAGCAAACAGGAUUAGAUACCCUGGUAGUCCACGCCCUAAAACGAUGUCAACUAGUUGUUGGGGAUUCAUUUCCUUAGUAACGUAGCUAACGCGUGAAGUUGACCGCCUGGGGAGUACGGUCGCAAGAUUAAAACUCAAAGGAAUUGACGGGGUCAUAGCUGUUUCCU